CUGCUUCUUUUUUAACAGUGGGCCAAUAGUAUCCUUGCCUGAAUACUUUGUUGGCUAAUGUUCCUGCUCCCUCGUGGGCUCCACAUAGGCCUCUAUGUAUCUCUUCCAUUACCUUUGUAGCCUCUUCCGGGCUCACACAUCGGAGCCAUGGACUGGAUUUUCCUUUUCUGUAUAAGGUCCCCCUUAUUGCUUGGUAGUUGGCAGCACGAGCUGCUAUCUUUCUGGCUUCAUCUUUAUC
This 238-nucleotide long non-coding RNA is filed under the name Manihot esculenta (cassava). RNAcentral's name for it is "long non-coding RNA (MESC_LNC004183)". The record is from RNAcentral. Lineage: Eukaryota; Viridiplantae; Streptophyta; Magnoliopsida; Malpighiales; Euphorbiaceae.